ACGGGUGCGUAACGCGUGGGAAUCUGCCCUUUGGUUCGGAAUAACAGCUGGAAACGGCUGCUAAUACCGGAUGAUGACGAAAGUCCAAAGAUUUAUCGCCAGAGGAUGAGCCCGCGUUGGAUUAGGUAGUUGGUGGGGUAAAGGCCUACCAAGCCGACGAUCCAUAGCUGGUCUGAGAGGAUGACCAGCCACACUGGGACUGAGACACGGCCCAGACUCCUACGGGAGGCAGCAGUGGGGAAUAUUGGACAAUGGGCGAAAGCCUGAUCCAGCAAUGCCGCGUGAGUGAUGAAGGCCCUAGGGUUGUAAAGCUCUUUUACCCGGGAAGAUAAUGACUGUACCGGGAGAAUAAGCCCCGGCUAACUCCGUGCCAGCAGCCGCGGUAAUACGGAGGGGGCUAGCGUUGUUCGGAAUUACUGGGCGUAAAGCGCACGUAGGCGGCUUUGUAAGUCAGAGGUGAAAGCCUGGAGCUCAACUCCAGAACUGCCUUUGAGACUGCAUCGCUUGAAUCCAGGAGAGGUCAGUGGAAUUCCGAGU
RNAcentral lists this ribosomal RNA (537 nucleotides) under uncultured bacterium. Its description in RNAcentral is "bacterial SSU rRNA". It matches the Rfam family "Bacterial small subunit ribosomal RNA", at positions 102 to 674 of the family's 1533-position model. The record is from RNAcentral.